Molecule: ribosomal RNA, 302 nt
Filed under: uncultured bacterium
Lineage: Bacteria
Description: partial 16S ribosomal RNA
Rfam family: Bacterial small subunit ribosomal RNA
Source: RNAcentral
GCAGCCGCCACGGUAAUACAGAGGGUGCGAGCGUUAAUCGGAUUUACUGGGCGUAAAGCGUGCGUAGGCGGCUUUUUAAGUCGGAUGUGAAAUCCCUGAGCUUAACUUAGGAAUUGCAUUCGAUACUGGGAAGCUAUAGUAUGGGAGAGGAUGGUAGAAUUCCAGGUGUAGCGGUGAAAUGCGUAGAGAUCUGGAGGAAUACCGAUGGCGAAGGCAGCCAUCUGGCCUAAUACUGACGCUGAGGUACGAAAGCAUGGGGAGCAAACAGGAUUAGAUACCCGUGUAGUCCCUGUCUCUUAUAC